GACGAACGCUGGCGGCGUGCUUAACACAUGCAAGUCGAACGGAAAGGCCCUGCUUUUGUGGGGUGCUCAAGUGGCGAACGGGUGAGUAACACGUGAGUAACCUGCCCUUGACUUUGGGAUAACUUCAGGAAACUGGGGCUAAUACCGGAUAGGAGCUCCUGCUGCAUGGUGGGGUUGGAAAGUUUCGGCGGUUGGGGAUGGACUCGCGGCUUAUCAGCUUGUUGGUGGGGUAGUGGCUUACCAAGGCUUUGACGGGUAGCCGGCCUGAGAGGGGGACCGGCCACAUUGGGACUGAGAUACGGCCCAGACUCCUACGGGAGGCAGCAGUGGGGAAUAUUGCACAAUGGGCGGAAGCCUGAUGCAGCAACGCCGCGUGCGGGAUGACGGCCUUCGGGUUGUAAACCGCUUUCGCCUGUGACGAAGCGUGAGUGACGGUAAUGGGUAAAGAAGCACCGGCUAACUACGUG
This 467-nucleotide ribosomal RNA is filed under the name uncultured bacterium. RNAcentral's name for it is "partial 16S ribosomal RNA". It matches the Rfam family "Bacterial small subunit ribosomal RNA", at positions 28 to 507 of the family's 1533-position model. The record is from RNAcentral.